AUGGACAUCGCCCAUGAAUUCCAAUUGCUGCUACGACAAUCACAAGCAGUACAAGACUUUAUACUCCCGGCCGAAGUACAAGACCUGCUGCGACAACUACAACAAGAAGAAGGUGACUUUCUACCUGACCCCGACGCCAUAAUUCGCGAGAUUGUCCGCCUCGGCUAUACCUAUAUUACCGAGGCGAACAUGGACGACAUCACCCCACACGUCAGCGUCGCGGGUGCUCCAGACCCAGCGUUGGCCGUGGCGGUGGCGGAGGCGCUCAAGACUGUGGACACGCCAGCCGACGGGCACGACUGUCCGAUUUGCAUGAAGGAACACGACUCGGCGGCGUGGAAGGAGACGCCGUGCGGGCACCGGUUCCACGGGCGAUGCGUGGAAAGGUGGCUGCAAGCCAAGGGGAGCUGCCCCAUGUGCCGGCGCCAGGUGGUGACCAUGGCCCCCCACCGCCCCUAG
RNAcentral lists this ribosomal RNA (459 nucleotides) under Triticum aestivum (bread wheat). RNAcentral describes it as "partial small subunit ribosomal RNA". Lineage: Eukaryota; Viridiplantae; Streptophyta; Magnoliopsida; Poales; Poaceae. The record is from RNAcentral.